UUCUACAAUGUUUGUGAAAAAUAAUCACACCUGUAGAAAAAAAUUGCCGAAAUGCUAAAAUUUUUAUUUUUCAAGUUGGAACAUUCGUUUAUAGCUCUAGCAACUCUAUGAUUUGCCUUGUUAUGACUAGUGUAGGCCAUAUUUCUGCAAGUGAUAGCAUUUCAGAGAAUCAUUAAGUUGUAUAGGCGUUCUACACCAGUGUCAAAGUUGAAGUCUCAUUUCUGUACUCAAUAAAAAAAAUUUUUUCAGGCAUAUCAGGCAAAACGCGAUUGGAGAAAGAAAAAGAGUAACGUUUAGGAAGAACAAAAAAAGACUUGGAUACCGAAGAAGAGACAAAAAAUGACCAAAGCUGGACCGGAAGGAGCGCAUCGAAAAUAUAGAGAAAGAUACUAAAAAAAACUAUUAAGAAGCUGGGAAAAUAAAAUCAAUUAAAGACUACACACCAAGAGCACAAAAAACAAUAAGAAAGAGUUGGCCAGAGCGUGUAUAAGGAUUGAAAAGAAGAUAAUUCUCCUUCAAGUCCAGUUUCACAAAUAUCUACAGUAUUUUCUAGACUUUCCUUAGAUCAAAGUCUUGCAGACAAAAAUAGAUGAACACUGAAAUUAGAAAAUUUGCUUCUUAAGCUAAGAAAAUUAAGCUGGCAGAGUUUGAAAAACAGCUCGGAUUUGCUCCCAUUACAAAAUUAGGAUUAUUUACUUUACUCCCAAAAAAAACUGAAGACUGAGCUGAUUUAACGAAACCAACCCAUUCACAGCUGGUAUCUGCAGAACCAAUAAUAAUAUAGGAAUAUACAGGAACCCAAUAGCGACAACGUCAAGUCCAGGGUUGAAAUUUUUUACAGAUCAACCUUUGAAUGUGAGGGUACUUCUGAUAUUUUUCAAACUGGAAAA
This is a long non-coding RNA of Maniola jurtina (meadow brown), 890 nucleotides long. RefSeq lists it as uncharacterized. NCBI's taxonomy places the organism in Eukaryota, Metazoa, Arthropoda, Insecta, Lepidoptera, Nymphalidae. The transcript has 2 exons. The record is from RefSeq and is a predicted model, not a curated record.